This 185-nucleotide ribosomal RNA is filed under the name Staphylococcus aureus. Its description in RNAcentral is "partial 16S ribosomal RNA". It matches the Rfam family "Bacterial small subunit ribosomal RNA", at positions 1 to 180 of the family's 1533-position model. The record is from RNAcentral. Lineage: Bacteria; Bacillati; Bacillota; Bacilli; Caryophanales; Staphylococcaceae.
UUUAUGGAGAGUUUGAUCCUGGCUCAGGAUGAACGCUGGCGGCGUGCCUAAUACAUGCAAGUCGAGCGAACGGAUGAGAAGCUUGCUUCUCUGAUGUUAGCGGCGGACGGGUGAGUAACACGUGGAUAACCUACCUAUAAGACUGGGAUAACUUCGGGAAACCGGAGCUAAUACCGGAUAAUAUU